This 409-nucleotide long non-coding RNA is filed under the name Setaria italica (foxtail millet). RNAcentral's name for it is "long non-coding RNA (SITA_LNC000473)". The record is from RNAcentral. Lineage: Eukaryota; Viridiplantae; Streptophyta; Magnoliopsida; Poales; Poaceae.
GGACUGGGCCGACAGGACCGGCGACCAGACGGUGACGUCGCGGUGGCCCUGGUACUGCGGCGGCAGCGAGACGGGGACCGUGACGGGCUCGUCGCGGUAGGUGACGAAGACGUCGAGGCGGCGGUAGAGGACGCCGACGUGGUCGUUGGGGUUGCGGGAGGCCAGCGUCACCUGCGCCGACGCCGAGAGGGACGGGUCGCCCACGGUGAUGGGGCGGCGGAGCUGCAGGUCCUGCAGGUAGAAGGACGGCUUGGAGGGGCGGAGCGCGAGGUAGACGACGAGCGCGACGAAGGCCACGAUGAGGACCAGCGCCAGGAGGCACGACGCCAUGCACCCGCAGCAGCGCCGCAGGUGGUGCUCGUGGCGGUGGUGCUUGCCCUCCUUGCUCAUGGCUGAUCAGUGGUCACGA